UUAAAAAUAAGCUAAAUAAAAGCUUUUGGGCUCAUACCUCAAAUACAAAGGAAAUCCCUUUUUUUUAAA
This 69-nucleotide transfer RNA is filed under the name Paroeneis palaearcticus. RNAcentral describes it as "tRNA-Met". Lineage: Eukaryota; Metazoa; Arthropoda; Insecta; Lepidoptera; Nymphalidae. RNAcentral also lists the same sequence under 2 other names. The record is from RNAcentral.